GACAUUGAAAGAUCGGAGUAAAGAAGACAACAUGAAUAUGUGAUGCUCGUUUAUCUAUUAAAUUAAAUUUUAUUUUAAUUUUAUUUCAAAUUAAUUUUUAAAAAAACUAAUUUGAAAAUUAGUAUGAAAAAAAAGGAUAAUAGAGUAGGUGUCCAAAUCAAAACACAUAAAUAUAGGACAAAAACAGGGAGAGAGGCUCUUUGUUUUUUUAACUGUAUUGGUUUAUAGUGUUUUAUAAAUAUUUUAGAUAAAAAAUAGGUUAAAAGGAAGUUUUUAAAUAAAAAAUCAAGCUUUAUUAUUUUAUAUAAUUCAAAUAAAAUCAAUUUAUUUAAUUGUUUAGAAUUAUAACUCAAGUUAUUUAACGACUUUUUAAAUUAUUUCUGUUACUUUCCCUCAAUUUUCUAGACAAGCAAAAGGAGCUAAACUUAUUCCCGACCAAAACGUCAAGAAUUUCAGUAGAACAAAAGAAGAGAUUAUUACUUGACCAAAAACAACCAGUCAUCACCCAAAGAAACCGAGUCAAUGAGAGAAAAAGACUGAUAGCUAGAAAACAAUCAACAGAUCCAAGAAUUUUCUGUAUGGUUUCCAAGAAAAUGAAACGAAACAAAGAUAGACAAAGAUAGUUCGAGGAAGUGGGCAGCCUUUUUUCUGCUGUUAACGCAGACUAAGAACUCCUACCAUCGUAAAAUCAUAUAAUUAAAACACAACAAUAAAAAAGUAAUGAGCAGCUAACUAUGUGCGAAAACCAGAGAAAUAAGGAUACAAAACGUGAGAGUGAGUCAUUGUUGUAAGUAAAAGAGGCGCAGAGAGAAUGGGAAUUGGAAUUUCAUACCUUAACUUGAGAAAAUAUGUGCGAAAAGCAGUGGUACUGAUUGCUCAAUGAAAAGGAGAAGGCCUUUAGCUCUGUAUGGAAUCCAGCUUCAACAGCAACAAGGCAAGGUCUAAGCAUUUUGAUGACAUAAUUAAGAUAAUAUGCGUAGUAAUAUAGAGACAGUGACAAAGAAAUGAAGAAAAAAAAUGCGUACGAGUACUCACCUAGCAAAGAAAGAAACGGAUGAAAGGUUCAGGAUAAUCACUUAGACGUUUCCAUGGAUGAUACCAGCUUGCUUCCAACAACAAAUAUAAUUAACCUAAGCUAUGAUCGGUCAAUGUUUUUUUUAGUUUUCUUCUUUUUCAGAAAAAAAAAAAAAAAAAAACAGAUCAUCAAGGGAAAAGACUUGCAAAGAAGUAGAAUUAAUGGAACGAACACAACAAGGAAUCAAACUCAAGCAAUUAAAAGUAAUUGUCUAUGAGUACCAUCUGUGUCACACGCUCAAGUGAGGAGAGAAAACAAGGAAAAAGAAAGGAAAGGGACAAGGAAGGCAGAAAGUAAGGUCACGUAGGGCUAGUCUUGUAGAAAGUGGGAGAGAGAGAGAGAGAGGUUAAAAAGGCUUAAAAAGAAAAGAAAAGGAAAGACAGAAAUAAAGGAAAGGACGUGGAAAUAGAAGGAGAGGUUGAGGGAGGCAGAAACGGAAGGAGACAUUGAAAGAUCGGAAGAGAGCAAAGAAAACAACAUGUUUGAGUGGGAUUUUUUUGUGCCUUUGAUAAAAAUACUCUGUUUUUUUUUCUCUUUGAUUGGGAUUUUUUUGUGUCUCUUUUAUUUGGAAUUUCUUUGGACACUUUAAUAAUAUAAUAACAAAAAAUAAUUUGAUUAAAUUAUUGUUCAUUCAAACACAGAUUUACUGUGGACUCCAAUAGUAUUUUUCACUAUAUUUUGAAUUUUAGUUUUUGAUAGCCAUGCUCGUUUGAUUUUUUUUUUUUUUUUUCAUACUCUUCCAAAUAAUGCAAGAAAUGAGGACCUGAAAUAACAGCAGCGAAUAAGGAGAGAGAUAACGUGUUUGUUCUUGUUUCUUAGAAAGUAUUUUAAAAAAUAUUAAAUUAAAUUUUAUUUUAUUUUUAUUUCAAAUUAAUUUUUAAAAAAACUAAUUUGAAAAUUAAUAUGAAAAAAGAGGAUAAUAGAGUAGUUGUCCCAAUCAAAACACAUAAAUAUAGGACAAAAACAGGGAUAAUAGAGUGCUCUUUGUUUUCUUAACUGUAUUGGUUUAAUAAGGUUUAUAGAGUGUUGUAUAAAUAUUUUAGAUAAAAAAAAGGUUAAAAGCAAGUUUUUAAAUAAAAAAAAAAGCUUUAUUUUUUUAUAUAAUUUAAAUAAAAUCAAUUUACUUAGUUGUUAAGAAUUAUAACUCAAGGGGAAAAACUUACAAAGAAGUAGAAUUACCGGAACAAACACAAGAAAGGAUCAAACUCAAGCAAUGAAAAGUAAUUGUUUACGAUGAUCAUCUCACUAAGUAAGGAGAGAAAAGAAGGAGAAAGAAAGGAAAAGGACAAAGAAGGCAGAAAGUAAGGUCACGUAGGGCCAGUCUUGUAGAAAGUUUGAGAAUUAGAGAGGCUGUUUGCUGCCAAGUGCCACGUGACACAAACGAAGCUACCCCUUACCUACUCCUGGAAAGGAAUGUCAGACUAUACUGCCUUUUUCAAUUCAUUAAUGUCGUUCCCAUCAUAUACAUGUUUUAUAUUCUUAAAAUUGCUCUGUGGGAUUGCAGGCCAUGCUCGUUUGAUUUUUUUUAUAACAAAAUUCUUUCCGUAUAAUUUUCCAACAUUGCACUUGGAUACCAAACUUCAAUUUACUCUUUUUCAAGGUUUUUUUUUUUUUUUUGGAGAAAAGAGUGGGUCCUUGAAUUUUAUUUCAGAGAGAGAAAGUUGUUGUUAGCUAUCAAAAUCAUUGAUUUUUGUGUCAAAUGAUAAUCAUCUAUUUUUUUUCUGUGUGUUCAUACUUAAAACCUUCUUAAAGAGUUCUUAUCAAUGACUUUAAAACCACUCUUUCUAGAUCAAAAGGUUAGAAAUAACUCUCUACCCUCUAAAUCUAACAAAACCACCAAGUACCUUUAAAACCAAAACCACAAUUGCAAAACUAGUUUAGUAUAAGAACUUCUAACUAUUAGCUUUUGUCCAUAACUCUCUCAUUUUGAUCUAAUGGUUAAACUUUCAUUAAUUUUUAAGGGAAUCUAUAAAAAAACCUAGAAAAACUCUAUAAAUACCCUUGAAAAUCAGAGUCAGAGAGAAGGAGAGAAGGGGAGAAAAGGAGAGAAAAAACAUGGGGAAAAAAUUUGUUAAUAGACUCUAUUACGAAGGUUCAAGAGCUUAAUAUAAAAGGUCUAAACAACUUUUAAAAAAAAAAAGUUAAAAGAAAAGAAGGAAGGAAAUGAGAAGAAAAAAAAAUAACAACGUAAUUUUGAACUUAGAAGGCCUAAUUUCAGUGCAAGUUGAGAGCAUUAGAGACUAGACCGUGCUUAUACCAAAAACGACUCUCAUCGUUGAAGGAAUGCAAACAGUUGUUAACGAGACACUCAUGCUGUUCCAACAUUCAAAGAUUGUUGAAUCUAGUACUGGUGCUCAUUCUGGAUCUAGUACCAAAAGGAAUAUAGAAAGAGAUUACCAUUGGGGCAAACGUGGGCAAUGCAUUUAUAAUAGCCAGAGAGGUGUUUUUAUAUACAAUCAACAAUUAAGGUAUCUUCUUGUGCUGAGCUUCCAUCAUGGUUGCAAGACAUUACCAUUGGGGCAAGGUCAUUUUGCUCGUAAAAGCAAGUUUUAAUUAAAAACUAAAUAAAUAAAGUAUUGAAAAUUGUUAUAAUCAAUUUGAAAAAACCUAAUAACAAUAGAUUAUUAUUCUUGUUAAACCCCUAACUUCAUAAUAAAAUUUGAUUAUCCUAAUACAAGAUUUAAUAUAAUUUCAUAGUUGUUAAACACUAACUGGACAUACAAAAAAGUACAAAUUACAACAAAAAAAUAAUUUGUUAAUAGACUUAUUAAAUUGGAGGACUAAACUAAAAAUGUCAUAAGUUCAUGACUAUACUAAAAUUCUUUCCAUAAUUCAUCCUCAAUUUUAUCUAGAAUUUCAAAUUAUGCUCCAGAAAUCACUCUGGAAUUUUUUUAAAUUUCUAAGGUCAAAUUAUAAUUUCAUCAAAUUGGAGGAUCAAAAUGAAAAUGUCAUAAAUUCAUAACUAUACUGGAAUUCUACCCAUAAUUCAUUUUUAAUUAUGUCCAGAAUCUUGGAUUAUACUUCAGGGACCAAUCUCUAAUUUUUUCACAGUUCAGGGAUUAAAUUAUAAUUUUUAUAAAUUGAGGGACUAAGCUGAAAUUUCAUAAUCUUCAACCUCAAACCCAGAAUUUACAUAGAUAACCUAUUGAUAUAUCAAGAUUUCUAACUCAAAUUCACCAUUUAAAUAAAUUAUCACUCAAAAUUAUUAUUUUUAUCAAAAAGCUUUUAAAAUCAACUAAAUAACUCGUUAGCAUAUCAAUGAACCAAUAAUUUUUCUAUAAUGUAAUUGUAAUUCCUAGCAUAAUGCAUAUUGGAGGGCAAGCACAACAACUCAGGAGCAAAAAACUCGAUGAAAUAGCAAAAUAAAAAGACUUGAAGGACUGAAAUAAAAUAAAACAAAAAAAGAGGGAUGAAAAAACUAACCGCAUUCUGGUUGCCAUAAAAAACAUAGUUCUUUUAGUAUAUAUUUUUUUAAAAUAUUGUAAUAGGUCAAUCAUAUUACCCGAGUAUGUGACACAGAGAUGAUCAUCAUAGAAAAUUACUUUUAGGUGCUGGAGUUUUAUCCUUAGAUGACAAACUUACCUUUUUGUCCUUCUAAUGCUUUUGCUUUCAUUGUUUCGAAAGUAAAAGAGACAAAAACAUAAUCAUUUCCUUCCUUUUACUUUCCACUUCUUUGUAAUGGAUUGCAAACGGGAUGGUGCUUAGGGGGGGCCAGUUUUUCUUUUCCUUUCUUUUUAAAAUCUUAUUCCUUGGGUGAGGAAAUUAGUGGAGCAUUAGACUUUUUAAAAGACAACAAAAAGAAUUAAGUAAUGUCUCAUCUUUUGAUAUGGUGGUACAAGAUGCACCAUGGUAUGGUGGUCUUGCAAGAAUGUCUUAUCUUUUGAUAUGGUUGUCUUUCAUGAUCAGUUUGUUGAUGAGGAUAUCAAAAGAUUCGAGUCUCCGCUCUAGUUCAGGUUGGAAGCUAGGCAGAAAGCUAAGCUUCUUGUAAUUAUGAAUUGUUUAUGCAAAGGAAACCCAGAAGCUUGAACAAACAGAAAUGCCUUGUUGAUUUCUCUGCUACUACUCAUUAUUUCCAAUAUUAUUCCAUUAUCUUACCCGAAAGCAAUUAUACAAGAAAUUUAAUUAUCCUGCCCCAAAAGGAAAUUUAUUACAAGGACUUCCUUUAACCUCCUUGAAGGCAAUUUAUUUGAUGAAAAUUCCUUUAAUCCACCUCGAAGACAAUUUAUCUUAGGGAAUUCCAACAACCCAGACAAUUUAUUUCUUGGAAAUUCCUUUAACCCACCCUUAAGGCAUUUUAUCAAAGGGAAUUCCAAAAUCAAUUUAUUUCUUGGACUCGGUAUUCUCUGGUACUAGUUAUUUAUAUAUAUUUAACAACACUUUUAUCUUACAUUUAAAAAGAAAUUCAAAAGAAAGGAUAACCCUUACCUAGAGCUCCUGUGGUUCUUGUUCCCGAGAGAAUUGGCUCCACUACGGGCAAAUCUACUACCAAAAACCCAAGUUUCAACCAAUCAAUAACAUCAACACCCAUUUUAAUUCAAUGCAAUAAGUUUUUCUUAACCAAUUUACUUGAUGCAAGUUCUUAUAAUCAAAGUGACAGUAUUCGAGGUGAAGACAAGCAGAAGGGCGUGAUAGAGUUUGACAAAGAUCAAGCUAGUUCCAAUAAAGGGAAACACUCUAUGGCCUAUGCAGGCCAAACUGCAAUGGCAUCCAAUAAGUGAGGACAAUCUUGUAUCUUCCAAGUGGCAGUAGAAUUUAAUUAUAACUACCAUUAUUCUUAUCUUUAGUUAGUAAUAUAACUCUAUUUAUUGUAUCUAUUAGGACAUUUUGUAAUGAAAACCUGUUAGUUAUUUGGUGUGAUUCCAAGGAGUGAUUCCUUUGAAUGAUAUCAGGCUCUACUUAUUUCAUAUUCCUUGCAAUUCUUGGAUUCUGCAAUAAAGUUAUCCGAAUUCUUUUCCUCUAUCAAUACUUUCUUGCUAUCUUUUAUAUAAUGUUCAUUAGUUUACAUAAAUUGUUCCUUUAAUAUCGUUUGGUAUUAAUUGAUAUCAGAGCAAGUUUUGAAUUUUGUUCUUCUAUGCCUGGAAUCGCAGUGGAAAUUCUUAUAAUCCCACCAAUAAAAGAUUACAGGACCCAAACCAAUUCUGAACUCCCCGUAGAAAACAUCUCCAAACCCAUUUUGAAUCACCCACAACAAGCAUCUCCACAACCUAUUAUGAACCCCCCAUAACAAGCACCUAUUAUGAACCCCCCAUAACAAGCAUCUCUACAACAUGAUUCUACUUGUUAAACCAGUUACAACCACAAAUGGAGUUGGUUACCCGCACCUUGGGAGCCAUUGUUGAACAUCUGGAUAACAGUGAAGAAAGGAGUAAUAUUGAUGAAAAUUGAAGGGGCAGAGUUGAUCAAGGAGGAGAUGUGGCUAUAGAUGAUGAAGAAGUAGGAGAACAUUAGCUCAAUUCAGUCUACAGUAACAGGGAGGUCAAAAUUGAAAGAUAUGACUAUUUUCAUUAAUUUUAUUAAAGCUUAUAAUAAAACGUUGUGUUUUUAAUUGGAAUUUUUUUUUUUAUAUGGCUUGGCUUUUUUAUUUUUUUUAAAUGCAAUCUCCUUCCCUUUAUCAUACAGAAAUCCAGUUUUGAGUUUAUGUAACUAUAUUAACAAAACGAUUAAAUGCUUUCGUGUCAGUUUAAUUAUUUAUAUAAAUAAUAAACCCAGUUAAUAUAUUUUUUAAUCAGUUUAUGAUAUAUUUGUCUCAUAGUUGAGUUAGUUAAUGUAUGUUGAUUGAUCCGAAGGUAGUGGGUUCAAGCUAUACUAGGAAUAAUAUUAUGUUUUUUCAAAUUAGUAGCAAAGGCGUGUGGGCUUGUCUCAGGCUCACAUGCUAGUGCCUGAGUUUUACUGUAAUAGACCCUAUCAUAUUAGGCCACGUAAGCCGGAGUGGUUGGAUAUUUUUUUAUUGGUCAUUUUAAAUUUUUUUAUUUUUUUAAUAUAAUUUUUUAAUUUUAUAUUUUAAUGUUGAGUUUUUUUAUUGAGUUUUAUUUGUCAAUAUUGAAUUUAUUAUAAAUUAAUUUUUGUAUUUUUUAUUAUAUAUAAAAUAAAAAAGUUUAAUUUAAAUUAAUAGAGUUUAUAAUCCGAGUAAAGUACUUGGUGGGUUAGUUAUAAACCUGAACUUUUUUAUUUUUUAUUUUUUGGAAAAGUAAAAGACAAAUUAAAAAAAUAAAGUAAUCUAUCUUUUUGAUAAGGUGGUUCAAGAUGCACCAUGAUACGGAUGUAUUUUAUUUUAUUUUUGCCUUUUUCUUUUAAAAAUGUUAUCUAAGAUGGAAAUACUUGCAUCAUGAGUAUGUAUUGGCCUACAAGUCCAAGCUAUUUGUGAUCAGGAUAACCUAUCAUGUCGAGCAUUAGAGUUUUUAAAAGACAAAACGGGGACAAGUGGGAGGCGAAGAAAAAGACAAUAGUAGGUGGUCUAAGAUACAUCUAUCUAUAUAUGACAAUAAUAAAACAAGCCUUUAAAACAACUCUGAAAACAAAUUUUUUUAUAAUUCAUAAUUUAUAAACACAUGCGAUAAAAUAACACUAUUAGAAAUUCGUUAAAUAGCAAUGAAUUUACCGACAAAAUAUUUCUGUCGGUAAUUUAAGGUCGAAAUUACCGACGAAACUUUUUUCGUCCAUAGUUCAAUCGGUAACUGCCGACGGACACUUUUCGUCGGUAGUUACCGACUGAAUUACGGAUAGAAAGUUCAAAAUUAAAAAAAAAUAGACGGGCCGCUGACGUGGAGGUUUUGGCUGGGUGAUUUUUUUCGACAAAUUCAAAAUGACAACGUUGUACAGUCACGUGACCUGCUCACCGUUAAAAAUACCGAUGGAAUCACCGAGGGAUUACAGGACCCAUUUGAACUCCCCGUAGAAAACAUCUCCAAACCCAUUUUGAAUCACCCGCAACAAGCUUCUCUACAACAUGAUUCUACUUCCUUGUUAAACCAGUUACAACAACAAAUGGAGUUGGUUACCCGCACCUUGGGAGCCAUUGUUGAACAUCUAGAUAACAUUGAAGAAAGGAGUAAUAUUGAUGAAAAUUGAAGGGGCAGAAAUGAUCAAGGAGGGGAUGUGGCUAUAGAUGAUGAAGAAGUAGGAGAACAUUAGCUCAAUUCAGUCUACAGUGACAGGGAGGUCAAAAUUGAAAGAUAUUACUAUUUUCAUUAAUUUUAUUAUAGCUUAUAAUAAAACCUUGUGUUUUUAAUUGGAAUUUUUUUUAUAUGGCGUGGCUUCUUUUUUUUUUUUUUAAUGCAAUCUCCUUCCCUUUAUCAUACAGAAAUCCAGUUUUGAGUUUAUGUAACUAUAUUAACAAAACGAUUAAAUGCUUUCGUGUCAGUUUAAUUAUUUAUAUAAAUAAUAAACCCAGUUAAUAUAAUUUUUAAUCAUUUUAUGAUAUAUUUGUCUCAUAGUUGAGUUGGUUAAUGUGUGUUGAUUGAUCCGAAGGUAGUGGGUUCAAGCUGUACUAGGAUUAAUAUUAUAUUUUUUCAAAUUUAUAGCAAAGGCGUGUGGGGCUGUGGGCUUGUCUCAGGCUCACAUGCUAGUGCGUGAGUUUUACUGUAAUAGACCCUAUCACAUUAGGCCACAUAUGGUUGGAUAUUUUUUUUAUUGGUCAUUUUAAAUUUUUUUACUUUUUUUAAUAUAAUUUUUUAAUUUUAUAUUUUAAUGUUAAGUUUUUUUAUUGAGUUUUAUUUGUCAAUAUUAAAUUUAUUGUAAAUUAAUUUUUGUAUUUUUUAUUAUAUAUAAAAUAAAAAAUAAUAAUUUAAAUUAAUAGAGUUUAUAAUUCGAGUAAAGUAUUUGGUGGGUUAGCUAUAAACCUUAACUUUUUAUUUUUUAUUUUUUAGACGAGUAAGAGACAAAUUAAAUAAACAAAGUAAUCUCAUCUUUUGUUUUUUUUUUUUUUGUUUUGCCUUUUUCUUUUAAAAAUGUUAUCUCCUUGGUAAGGAAUCCUUGGUUCCCAACAGCAACUGUAGCAGAGUUGACGGUUGCGUAAAAACAAAUCUCUAAACUCCACCGAAAGUAGUGGAGCAUUAGAAUUUUUAAAAGACAAAACGGGGACAAGUAGGAGACGAAGAAAAAGACAAUAGUAGGUGGUCUCAGAUACACCGUAUAUAUGACAACAAGACAAUUGACCGUGCGAUGCGCGAGUUAUUUUUUUUACAUAAAAAAUAUUAAAAUAAAUAAAAGUUUAAAAAUUUUGAGUUUUUCUGUAAAGUUAUACAUAAAAAAUUUAAGUUUGGCUGCAACGCCUGACCUAAGAGUAAUAUUUAUAAUAUUAAUAAUAAAAUUAAACUUGCUGCAACACUGGACCCAAGAAUAUUGGAUGUGGGUCUAGAUAUAAGGUCGUGUCAUAAAAGUGUGAUAAUUAAAUAGAUUGAUAAAAAAAAACAAAGAAAAAAAGUCAACACAAAGGAAAAAACUAAUGAAGUAAAAGAAAAAGAAAUUAAAUUAAUUGAGUUAACCCUUUAAACCAGGUUAUCCCGUAAAACCUGGGAUUCACAUCAUAAAAGUUUGAUAACUAAAUAAAAAAAUAAAUGACGGGUUUACCCAGAAUUAACUGGGUUAACCCAUUAAACCAAGUUAACCCGUCAAGCCCAGGACACGUGUCAUGAAAGUAUAAAAGUCUGAUAAUUAAAUACAAAGAAAAUUAACUUUAACAAACUAAACUAAAUGAAAAAAAUAAUUUAUCAAAUCAGGCUAACCCAUCAAAUCCAAGAUUCGUAUCAUGAAAAUCUGAUAACUAAAUAAAAAAAUUUAACAUUAACAAAUUAAAUCAAACAAAAAAAAUUCAUUAAAAAAAAUUAAAAAGAAAAAAAGGAAAAAAAUAGUUAUAUAAUAUAAAAUAAUAUAAUACAAUGUAAUUAUAAUUAUAAUUAUAAUUAUAAUAAUAUAAUAUAUUAAUAAGUAAAUAUAUUAGUAAAAGGUGUGACAUGCCCGCGCGAUGCUGCGGGCUUACGGCAUGCUCGUGCAUUAUUGUGGAUUUGUGAAAAAAAUCAUAUAAAAAAAAUGUUAUCAUCCACAAUAUUUUAAAGGAAAAAACUACAAAACUAUAUUCUCAACCAGCUUAAUAUUAAAAAAAAAAAUCGACAAAAACAAUUAUAAAAAAAAACAAAAAAAAAAGAAGAUGAUAAUUUUGGAAGAAAAAAAAGCAAAAAGCAAAUAAUAAUAAUAAAAAAAAAACACGUGGGGAAAGUUAAAGUUAAAUUUUCAACCAGCUUAAAAUCAUUUAAGAAAACACUGUAGCAAUCUAUAGUGUUUUGUGAAGAAAUAUACAACUAUAAUUCUCAACCAGCUCAAUAUUAAAAAAAAAAAUCAAUAAAGAUAAUUUUGACAUAUAUAAAAAAAAACGAAAGGAAAAAAAAACAUUCAUGGAAACACUAUAACAAUCUAUAGUGUUUCGUGAGAAAAUCUACAUUUGUAAUUUUUAACCACCUCAAUAUCAAAAACAAUAAAAACGACAAAGACAAUUUUAAAAAAAACAUAACAAAUAAAAGCAUAUGGAAAAACACUGUAGCAAUCAACGAUGUUUUAAGGAAAAAAACUAAAUUGUUAGCCAAUUCAGUAUGAAAAAAAUAAAUUUGACAAAAACAUAUUUGGAAAAAAAGCAUCGACAAAAAAAAAAUGUGGGGAACACUGUAGCAAGGAAAAAAUAAUAUGGGAAAACACUGUAGUAAUCUACAGUGUUUUAAAUAACUACAAAGCUAAAUUCUCAAUCAGCUUAAUAUAAAAAAAAUAAAAUCGACAAAGAUAAUUAUGAAAAAAAAAUUAUUUAAUAAAAAGACAUGUAGAGAAAUGACUAUUCACUAGACUUGUAGAUAUUAAUUAUAAAGUUUUUGAAAGUUUUCAAUCUAGUAUUUGAUUUUUUUGUUUGCAUAAUUGAAUCUCUUUGAACCCAAAUUAAAAUUUAAUUGCAUAUAUUAUUUUAAUAAAAUAGUUUGAAAAACAAAAAACUGAAGUAGAAACCCAGUAAAAAUAUGUGGUGAUACUAUAAUUUAUUUGUAAAGUUUAUUUUAAUUUCUUAUUUUUUUUAAAUUACUAGGUAAUAUGUCCCUAUAAUUUCUUGAAAUUGCAUUUUGAUACCAAAUAUCACUAGUUGUUUUUUUUAAGGAGAAAGAGUUAUUAUUAAGUAUUUUAACUAUCAAAAUAGUUGAUUUUUUAUGAUAAAUAAUUCCAUAAUCUGGCUUUCUUUUCAAAGUCCAGCUAAGUUUUUGGCUUAUUAUGUUCACAUAGAGAGGUGGGAUUUUAUAAGCCAUGCAAUAUAUUUUUUUUUUUGGUAACCAAACAUAACCACAAGCCCAAAAGAAAACAAUUUUAACAAUACCCACCAAACAGUUGAAGUGCUAUGUAGUAAUGAUUUUUUAGAAUUGUAUUUUUUUUUGGUAAGAUAUUGAAGUAUUUUUUAUUUUUAAUAUUAAUAUAUUAAAUUAUAAAAGAAUAUUUAAAAAAUAUCAAUUUAAUAAUUUUUAAAAUAAAUAAUUUUUAAUUUAAAAAAUAUCUAAAAAUAAAAGAUACCAUACUCCUGAACGAGCUAUAAAAUCAAUCUAAAAUUUUUAUAAACUCAAUUUACAAGCUGGGUACAGAAGUAUCAACACAACUACUUGAGAGACUGUUUAAAAUCAAUCCUUUUUAAAAAUAAAAAAACUCCUUAGUUGUUAAGGAAAGAUUGGUAGUGUGAACAAAUCACCAAAGUCAGCAGCAAGGAAGUUCCAGGAAGUGGGCAGCCUUUCUUCUGCUGCCAUUGUAAAAUCAUAUAUUUAAAAUACAGUAAUAAAAAUGUAAUACGCAGCUAAUUAAUGUAUUAAGCAGCUAAUUAAUGAUGUUGUUCUUUCUUCUUGUUUUUCUAUUUUGAUUUUAUUGUAUUUUUUCAAAAAAAUUAUGAUUGUGAAAGCUAGCCAAAGCAUUAGUUCCAAGCAAUCUAUGAGGUUAUUUAACAGUGUGGUUGUCAUUGCUUUUCAAUGUAUUUUUCAUUCGAAAAUACAUCAAAAUAAUAUUUUUUUUAUUUCUUAAAAAUUAUUUUUAAUAAACAUAUCAAAAUAAUCUGAAAACACCAAACAAUUAUUAAUUUGAAGUAAUUUUUUUUUAAAAUGCUUUUAAAACACAAAAAACAAACAGAAAAACUAGUGUAGGUGCGCUCAACAUUGUCCCGAGAUACUUUUAUAAUCUAAGUUUUUUAAUAUAUUUUUUAUUUAAUUAUGCAAUAUAUUCAUAGAAAACACCCAAAAUAAAAUUAUAGACAAAAAAUAUAUAUUUCAUCAAAAUUCUCUAGUCUAAUUCAUGUAUUUUUCUUCAAAAAAAAGUUUUUGAUGAUAUGAAAAGUAAUAACAACCAGGAAAAGUCUCCUAAGAAACUGUAAUGAUUUGAACUAAAAAAAUAUUUUUUUGUUGAAAACAUAGUUUUUUUAAUUCAUGAAUUUUUUUUAUUGAAAAGAAAUGUACUUUUUAUGAGUAAUUUUAUUUUGCUCAAAUGUCCCUAAUACAUAAUUAUUCAUAAAAUAUUGAAAAUAUCAUAAUAAAAAUGCCUAAUCUUCUUAAAAACAAUUAAAUAAUUGAACAAUCACUUAAAUAUUAUUUUAAUAAAUUGGAUUGAAAGAUUUUUUUUUAUUAAAAAUAAAGAAUAAAAAAAAUGAAAUGAUAUCUAAGAUAAAGGUUAUACAAGCCUUGAAAGAUAAUAUAUGUACGUGUAUAAUACAAAUUAAUAAAUUCUAAGUAGCAAUAUUUAAUGCAAGUUUAAGAAUAAGAGUUUGCUUUGUGUUUUGUUGUGAGAUUAACCAUAUCAAAUUAUAUAUUUAAUAAUAAAUAACUGUGUUGUGUUAUGAGUAAAAUCAAUAAAUUAUUUGGUGUUCUGCUAUCUUGUUGUUUGAAUUAAAAUUAUUAUUAAGAAUAUAAAUUAAAUAAAAUAUUGAACAAACUAAAUGAAUUGCUUAAUAAAUAAAUAAUUUUUUUUUUUAGAAAGCAUGGAAAUGCCAUGACAUUGGCUUUUUAGAUAAUACUACAAUAUUAACAGCCAAAGAAAUCAUCGAUAGCUGUGUAAAUCAUCGAAACUGCCACAAAAGCAGGAGAGGUAUUUCUUUUGGCAACACAUAAAUGAAAAAGAAUAAGAGUUCCUAGAUCUGAAAUAGGAGGAUAUAAUAGAUAUGCAAUAUGAGAGGAGGUUCCAAGAUUUAUUUAUCUUUGCCACCAUUUACAUUUCCACCGAGCAUCAUCUAGUAAAACAAUUCCGGGAUGGACUUAGACAUGAGCUGAAGCUAACCUUGAUAACUAUACAAUUCCGGGAUGGACUUAGAAUUGGUGUGGGCUAGAGGAUAAUGAAUAACACUAUGAAGCCAACUAAUAAGCAGAGUCAAGUAAAUUGUUCAUAAUGAAUAACACUAUUUAAGAGAAGAGACUUUAUGCAUCCUACAAAGAGGACCCCUCCAAAAAAAAAAAGAAAAAAAAAAGGAUAGUCGUUCGAGCAAUUUCAUGGAAGAAGGGGGAGCUUUAUUCACGGGGAAAAUUCAGGGGGAGCUAAAUGCUGGAGCUUUAUUCAUAGUUGGAUCAUUUGUGAUUUUAGUGUUUGCUACUCUCAGUACUUAUAUUAGAAGUGCUCUCAUCUUUGAAGGAAUGUAAAAAAUUGUUAAUAUGAAACUUAUUAUGUAUAGAAAAUUGUUGUUUUUUUUUUUUUUGGGUUUGAAUUAAUAUAAACAUACACAAUUAGUUGAAUUUCAAGAAUGAGCGAAUUUCAAGAAUGAGCUAACUUAAGAAUAAUCAUAAGUAUGUUUUUGUUAGAAAUAACUUUUUACUUAAAUAAAAAAUGUGUUGCAAAAUUGAUUUAUAAGUUUCUUUUUUCUUACUUUUAAAUCAUGGAUUGCAUCUUACACAAUAUUUUUGUUAAUUAAAAAAUAGUUAAUUUGAGUUGUUUUUAUUAAACAUCCUUAUAAUUAAUUCAUUUUCACAGUGAAUUAUUUAUUAAAAACAAAUUAAGAUUAACACUUAAAAAAAAAUAAAAAAAUAAUUCAAGAAUCAUAUUAAAAAAUUCUUAAUUUCUCACAGCACAACAAAAUGCUUUAAAAGAAAGCUAAUAAUCUGACAGGAGGUGGGGCUGCUCUUAGCCAAUGAAAACAGCUUCACAUGCAACACAUCAACAUGAAAAAAAAGAUUAUCAGCCUGUUUUUUCCUUAAAGAACACCCUCUUGGAUUCUCUAGCAUUAGCCACAAAGGUAUCUGCUUGGAAAAACCAUUCCACAAUCUAGAAAUUUAAAUGCCCAAAAAUACAUCGAUUGACAACAAGUCACAUGCCCAUACAUACAUUAACAUUGAUUUCAGAUCUUUUACAAAUUCUAAUCUUUGUAAGAAGCUGUUUUGCUGCCCAUCGGAUGUGACCACCUGACCAGAAGACAAUAUUAUAUUUUUUAAACCCUUCACUCUCAUAAACAACAAUUUAUAUGAUUAUAAAUAGGAUAAAAUAGGAUUACAUAUUUUUAGAAAUUACCUAUUACUGUUUUAGUUUUUUUUUCCUUAAUUAGAGAUAAGUUGAAUAAAGUAGUAACAAUUAUAUUUUUGAGAGAAAAAGUAACUACAACUCCUAAUAAUUAGUUUCGUGUAAGAAAUAAAAAUAAUUAUGUUAAUAAACUUUUAAAGAUAUUUUAAUUGAAUUAAGUAUUUCAACACAAAAUUUAUGCUCUUAUACAGUUAUAUAUUAAUUCUAACAAAAAAUAUGAUUUCUAUGUUUAAAUGUUGGUAUUAAUAACGGAUACAACAAUGAGGCAGUUAAGUUUGGUGGAUAAAAUAAAAUCAUUAAUAAAAUAAAAAUAAGCUAGUAUGUUUGUUACAUAACUAAAAAUAUUUAAUUUUUUUAUAUAUAUUUUUUUAAAUUAUUUUAAUAUGCUGAUAUCAAAAAUAUAUAUUAACAAGUUUUUAUUUCAAAAAUAAUAAUAAUAAUCCUUUGCUAGAAACUUAACAAAAGCCUUUUAUAGGUGCUCCCUCACGCGUCGUCUUAGUUGCUGACCAUUGAUUGCUCAUUGCUUGAUGCGUGGAGAUAGGAUCAGAUUUUUAAAGCUAAAUCUUGCAUCAAGGGUGGCUACUGGUAUUGAUGUCAUUUUCUUAGGUCAAUGAACAUUAUUUUUUUACAAUUUUAUAUUUUCAUGUAAUGUUUUGUGAUAUUUUAUCCUUGCAUUUUCUUGACAAUUUAAUGUGUUUUGUUGCAUUUUCUUUUAAAAUUAGAAAAAAACUCAAAAAAUGUCUUUUCAGUAGUUUUAUUCAUUUCGUUAUUUUUUUCAUUUAUUUUUUGUGUGUCAAGAAAUCUUGAAAAAAACAAUAUAAAAAUACAAAAAAUAAAUAAUAUAAAAAUAUGUAGUUGGGGUUGCAAUUGGACCAAUAUUUGAGUAUCACAAGUAAAAAUAAAAUUUGUAAAUUUUUAAGUCAUAAUUAAGAUUCGAAUUGAAGAUAAAUGGGCUAAAAUUGGCUAAAAUUGAAAGAAAUUGAAGUUCAAGGAUGAGUUUGGAACAAAUAGCCAAGUUAGAAAACCAAUUAAGAGCUUUAUUGAAGAAACAAAUUGAAAUUGGAAUGCAAUUUGACUCAAAACAAUGAAGAAUUGAAGGACCAAAGCCCUUAAAUGGAUAAAGCCGAUAAUUCAGAGGUCAUAUUCUGUCAGGGUUUUACUUGAAAGAAAUUUUUAAAAAAAGGUGAAAUGACCGAACUAAGGAAGAUUCAAAAACCAAUGAUUAAAAUGCAAAAAACGCUGAAAUGCAGGGACUUACAUGAAAAUGGGCCUAAUUUAAUUAGAAAAGAAACCCCAGGGCCUAAUUAGAAAACCUGUUUCAAAUAAAGUGAGACGAUGUGUUUUCUUGGGACUAGAGUUCAAAUUGCCAACAAACUCCUCUUGCCAUUCCCUAAUUGCACUGAGCCAGCUAAUCUGGAUGAAAGUUAUCGAUAGCUGUGAAAAUCAUUGAAACCGCCACAAAAGCAAACUCAAAUUAGUUAUGAAUUGGAUUCGAUGGAAGGAAGAUGGGAAGAGGGGAAAUUAAAGAGAGAUGAAGAUCUGCGCAUGGCUACCUGUUUUUGAGAGAAUUAUGGAAAGUUAUCCCAACUCAAAACGGCACCAAUUAUAAGUUCAGUAAAAAAAAUCUGGAACACAACAGAUGGAAAAAACUGCUACAAUUUAGGCAAGAAAUUCAGAAUGAGCCAAGAUUUCAAGUGAGAUGAAACUUUUUGUCUCACUUUUUUUUUUUUUUUUUUUUUAAUAGUAUCAUGGAUAACUAAACAGAGGAACGUUAAGAGGAUAGAAUAUUUAGAAUCACUAGCAAUAGCCAGCUGCUAGGUAUCUGCUCGAAAAACCCUUACUAUUAAUGCUAGGCAGUAAGGUUCUACUUAUAAUUUAGAAUUAGUUCUCAGCAACUUCACAGUUUAACUAAAACAUUUCUUAGCAAGUCUUUUGUAAUGAAUAAAGUAGCCAGGAUCAUUUCCAGCAUACUUCCACCUUUAACGAAGCAAUUAGGGUUUCUAGCAACUUUAACUUGCUAUAUACAAGUUUAACUCUUAUCAUGAACAUUGGCAUUUAAUGGAAAUUCAGUGCAGGAUAAUAAGGAAUUAAGCUUCAUGAAACAUGAAAUAAUGCAAGAGUUAAACAGGCUCUUGAUUUCCAACAUCACAAGCUAUAUGCCUAGAAAGAAGCUUGUGAAAGGGUUUGUAAUUAAGCAGCAAACAAUUAGAAAUCAGAGGAUACAUUGCAAUUGCCAGCAAUGUAUCUGCUCGAAAAAACCAUUCAACAAGGGGUUCUGCGAGGAAAACAUGAGAUUGUUCAUACAAUAGAUUGGAUAUCAGUUUCAAACUUUUGAACAAAUAAUACAACAUCAAGUCUCAGUCAUCACAUGAUCAUACGAAAACAUUUAUUCAAGAUCUUAAGCGGCAUUGCCAGGCCCAUUUCCAAAACCACAUAAGCAUAUGCAAUAGAAACAGAGCAUCAAACUGACAGAGAAAACAUACUGAUGCAGCAAAUACCCAAGUCGUAGAGCCAUUAAUUUGAGUAGAAAGGAGAAUGAAAGUCCACACAUUAAACAGUACGCACAUACAUGAGUAGACAUUAUGCUGUUUUUGAAGAUUCAGACACUUCAAAAGAAACUCAAAUGGGCCAACACACACUUAUUUUUGGGAAGUUCACACAGCAAACACGUACAUAGAUAAGUCGAAAUCUUCUUUUGGUAAAUAAAAUUGUUACAAUGUGAAGCCAAUUUCAAUCCCAUUGCCAAUGAAACAGUUGGAAUUAUUUCCACCAAUCUAAAACAUAUUCCAUGUAAUAGGUAACAUGGACAACCUUGCCUGAUGCAAACAUGAAGAACAAAGACAUGAAGACAUGAAUAUCCGUGAAAUCGCCUAAGGUGGAGUUGAUCAUGUAAUAGGUAACCAACCUUGCCUGAUGCAAACAUGAAGAACACAGACCAUCCAUGCAUAUCGCAUAUGUUAAUUUAAUUCGAACUUUAAAAGUUGAAGGAAAAGGAGAGCAGAUAAAUAAUUGCAGCCAUAUCACCUGGUUUGGGCAAGAAAGAAUUAUUAGACUAGCAAACAUCAUCAUCACCAUACUCUUCUACUUCUUCUUUCCACCCAGUAUCUCGGGUCCGCUCUCUAUUAGUUCUUGAAUCUUCAGCUACUUGAGAUAUCUGUAAACCAAUUCAAGCAUGGCAUACACAUUCUAACUUGUAAAUCUUAUUAUUGAGCGAAAUAAGAAACAAACACACUAAAAGAGAUGCAAGAAAUCAAGUCAAAUCUACAGCACCUCUGAUUGAGCACUCAUUGAACCAUCUGGUGUAAUAGCAAAUUUUGUGCUCAACUUUGUGCAUUCAUACACCUUCAACUUCUCCAAACGUGGGAAUAAGAAAUCACAACAUCCGAAACUGAAGAGGACAAUACUUGAUAAUUGUUUUAGCAACAGCUCCUUUAGAUCGGAAAGCACCAUCUCCUUCUCAACAUUGACAGGUGAAGCAUGAUCAUCCUGCCCAAAUACUCCCAAUACUUGAGAGGAUUUUGUUACUCUAAGUAUUUGGAGCUUUGGGAGACUUAAAGCCAUGGCUACUGGGAAAAGGCUCUUCAACGUGUUGCAUUCUCUAAUCUCAAUAUGACUUAAAUUGGGAAAGCAUAAAGAUCGAAGAGGAUCUCCUAACAAUAUCUGGUCGUUUUCAUCAUCAUCCUUAGCAAUGAUUUGCUCUAAUUCCUCACAGGACAAUAUCUUUAGAGCUUUCAGUUGAACUAGAUUGAUAAUCAUGCUGCAUGUGAAUACAUGUGUCAGUCUCUUACAAUUAACCACCUCUAAAGUAGUCAAUUUGCUCAGCACAAGACCCUUCCAUAUACACCUCAUGUCAGGUAGGGAUUCCAAGUAUAAUGUUUCCAAAUUUGUCAGCCCCUGCAUCAAAAGAAAACAAGGAUACCAAUUUGUUAGAUAUAAUUCCUAAUAAAUUUUGUGCACUUUGGAACUAUAUAAUUUAAGUAAAUAAAUGAACGACUUGUCCCCAAUACUUCAGCCAAAAACUUAACAACAAAAGGAUACAAGUAGACAUGGCAACAGGGCAUGGGAACAUGAAAUCAGAAGUUGCAGGACUGAAAGAGACAACUCAAUAUAAGAUGGAGGUUUAUCUUCCUUUUCAAAUACUUCCAUUAAUUGGGGGAAGAGCCUCAAUUUCACUCAAACUUUGGAAAGCAUAAAGAUUGAAAAAUCUAGGUAGGAUUUCAUUACAAUAAUUAUUUGUUCUAGUGACAGCUACCACAAAUUAGGAAGCACCAUCUCCUUCUCAACUUUGAUAGGUGAAGCAUGAUCAUCUUGCACAAAUACUACUAAUAAUUGAGAAGCUUCACUUACUUUCAGUAUUUGGAGCUCUGGGAGACCUGAAGUCAUGGCUAUUGGGAAGAUACUCUUCAACUUGUUGCAUUUUCUGACAUCAAUUUCACACAAAUUGGGAAAGCAUAAAGAUCAAGAAGAUCUUCUAACAAUAUCUGGUCGUUUUCAUCAUCAUCCUUAGCAAUGAUUUGCUCUAAUUCCUCACAGGACAAUAUCCGUAGAACUUUCAGUUGAACUAGACUGACAAUCAUGCUACAUGUGAAUACAUGUGUCAGUCUCUUACACUUAACCACAUCCAAAGUAGUCAAUUUGCUCAGCGCAAGACCCUUCCAUAUACACCUUGUUGUAACCCAUUUUUGGGUCCCUAUAAAAAAAAUAAUAAAUAAAAAAAAAUAAAAAAAAUAAAAAAUAAAAAUGUGCGCAGUACUGGCGCAGUAACCUGUAGAUUAAUUCUCUGGUUACUGUACACACAGUAACCCGGUUACUAUGUGCACAGUAACCAGCCAAAAAAAAAAUAGAAAAGGGCUAAACGGUGCCGUUUUGAACGGCACUGUUCCCCUUUCUUCCCCGCCUAACAUACAGCAGUAGAGAAGGAAAAAAGAUGUAUAUUUAAUGGCGUUGGUCCCUCCAGCCCACCGACCGAAGACAUUGGCCGACCGCCUACCGCACCGCCGAAACUGAGGGAGGCACGCCUGGACAGCCACGCCCGACCAGCCGCCGCAUGACCCCACGAUGAAAAAAAAAAAAAAAACACAUGCUCACGGGCUAUAAAUGGAGGAGAAGAGAGGAGGAAGGAGGAGGGAGAGAGAGGGAACAGAAGAGGUAACAGAAGGGAGAAUAGAGUGAGAAGAGAGGAGAGAAGGCAGAGAAGAAGAAGGGAAGAGGCAGAGAAGAAAACGGGAAAAAACAGAGGAGAGAGAGAGAAGGAAAACCGCCGGCCACCGCGAACCGCCAGCGCCGCCGCCGCCACCCCUGCUGCAUCAGCUGCUGCCAGCAUCAACACAGCUUCAGGUAACGUCCUACCUUUCCCGUCAUUUUUUUGCUUCAGUUCAUGCAGAACGUUUACGUUCUGCAGAAUUAAUUAGCUAGUUACUGUGCACAGCACAGUAACUAGCUAAUUAAUUCACAUUACUGUGUGCACAGUAACCCCCGGUUACUGCAUUGCUAAUUAAUUCUGUGGUCACUGUGUGUACAGUACCCCCGGUUACUAUGUGCACAGUGACCAGCCUAUUCUUUGAGCCAGGUUCGGCCCAACCCAUAUAUUUGGGCCUGAUCCGACCCGUUUCAAAAAAAAAAAAUCAAAAAAAUUUGUUUCAGUAUUUUAUAAUUUUUUUAGUGUAAUUUUUAUGUCAUUUCGAUUAAUAUUUGAUGGUAUUUUUUUAUGUUGUUAAAAAUACAAAAAUCUGAUUUUUCAAAUACCCGGUUUUCGUAAAAAAAAAAAAAAAAAAACUUCCACAAAAUACAAAAAAUUAAAAAAAGAAAAAAAACUGUUUUUGUACAUACGGCCAAGUGUCUCAAAGCUAAAAAUUCAUAUUGUAUUUUUUUCAUACACAAAAAAAAUGUUUUAGCAUGCAUUUUGGCUUUAAUAACCAGUUUAUUAAAGUCAAGAGAAUAUUGGCCAAUAUUUCAAAAACAACAAAAAUUUUAUUUUGUUUCUCUUAGUAUCCGGGGUAUGACUUUACACGUAAUGCAUAUUCCGGAUAUUUAAUUCUUUUUUUUUGGACAAUAGAACCUGGGGUAUGACAUUACAUGUAAUGCGUAUUCCGAACAAUAAGAAACCACAACACGACCUUAGAUUUUAUCAGACAAAACAAUGCAGCCUACCUUAGGUAGGGCGUAGUUGGGGUGCUAAUACCUUCCCUUUACGCAACCAGUCUUCGUACCCGAUCUCUAAAGACCAGUUAGGGUUCCUAGUAACCAGAAUACUAGGUGACGACUCCCAGUCCAUAUUUGCACUUGUAGAGACAAGAAUUCCUUGUCUCUCCCUAUUUUCCAGGAAUAAAUAUUUUUCCAUUUUUUCCUUGAGGGUGGACGAUCGCCGCGCCGCCGCACACGUGCGAUACACCUCAUGUCAGGCAGGGAUUCCAAGCAUAAUGUUUCCAAAUUUGUCAAACCCUGCAUCAAAAGAAAACAAGGAUACCAAUUUGUUGGAUAUAAUUCCUAAGAGAUUUUGUGCACUUUGGAACUGUAUAAUUUUGGAAAAUAGAUGAACGAAUUGUCCCCAAUACUUCAGCCAAAAACAUCAACAAAAGGAUAUAAGUAGGCAUGGCAACAGGGCAUGGGAACAUGAAAUCAAAGUUGUAGGACUGACAGAGACAACUCAAUAUUAGCAGAUGGAGGUUUAUCUUCCUCUUCAAAUACUUCCAUUAAUUGGGGGAAGAGCCUCAAUUUCACUCAAACUUGGAAAGCAUAAUGAUUGAAAAUCUAGGUAUCAUUUCAUUACAAUAAUUAAUUUCUUACUUCUUAAGCCCUGCAUCAAGAGACAGGGAAAGAUACAUUUAGACAACUCCUUUUAAAUAUAGUGGAUGGCUAAUGGAUUUAUCUCCACUUAUCAUAGUGUAUUGAAGUUGACAAUUUAAAUAAAAAAGGAAAAAAUUAUUGGAGAAAUAUAAAGGACGUACUUGUAGCUGUGCCGACAAAUUACCCAAUUCUUCAUGGCCAGAGAUGCAUAGAUUUUGCAAAGAAGGUAAUUGGGCAGCAAAAUUCUUCAAACCAAAAAAGCUGUAAUUUGAUCUGGAAAAAAGCUCCAAUUUUCUUAGUCGAGGGAACUUGAUGAUGCCAUCUCUGGUGAGUGCAUCUCCUUCUCCACUGUGAAAUAUUUGCUUUAAAUUGUCAGCAAAUUCAAUCUCCAUCUCUUCCAGGUUCAGAAGGCUUGGAGACACAGAGAUAGGGAAGACAUAUUCCAGUUUACAACACUUUUCUAUGAAGAUAAAUUUUAAUUCUGGGAAGCCAGGAGACUCUGGAAUUAUCUCCCAUUCACCAUCCUCUUCUUUGAUAAUAUGCUUCAAUUCACCACAUUUUUCUAUCUUAAGUGUCUGCAGUUGUGGUAGACUCUGAGCGAGGGACGAUGUGAAGAUAAAUGUCAGUUUGUCGAGAGAAUACAAAUUCAGAAGAGUAAGACUUUGGAGGCUGACAUGUCUGGUGGACCCCUUCCAUAUACAUUUAAGCUCAGGUAGCUCUCGCACCUGUAACUUUGUUAAAGAUGACAGCAGCGGCAGCUCCUUCUCCUCACUGCUUCCUUCAUCAGCAUCACCCAAUUCAAAUACCUCUUCCAAUGAUUUGCAGUCCUUUAUUUCCACACUCUUUAGAUUUUUCAGAGCUUGCAGCAAUUUUGCUGGAAACGGAGUGCGGACAUCCCCACAAUCCCUCACUUCUACAAAUUCUAAUCUUUGUAAGAAGCUGUUUUGCUGCCCAUGGCCAUGGGCAACCAUCUGAUCAGAGAACAAUAUUAUGUUUUUUAAACCCUUCACUCUCAUAAAAACAAUUUAUAUGAUGUAUAAAUAGAAAAAAAAAAUAGGAUUAAAUAUAAAGUACAUACUUGUAGCAGUGCCAACCAAUUACUCACUUCUUUCCACCCGUUAUCUCUGGUCCACUCUCUAUUAAUGCUUAUAUCUUCAGCUACUUGAGAUAUCUGUAAGCAAUUCAAGCAUGGAAUACACAUUCUAACUUGUGAAUCUUAUUAUUGAGCGAAACAAGAAACAAACACACUAAAAAGAGAGAUAAGAAAUCAAGUCAAAUCAGCAGCACCUCUGAUUGAGUACUCAUUGAACCAUCUGGUGUAAUAGCAAAUUUUGUGCUCAACUUUGCGCAUUCAUACACCUUCAACUUCUCCAAACAAGGGAAUAAGAAAUCACAGCAUCCGAAACUGAAGAAUAAAAUACUUGGUAAUUGUUCUAGUGUCAGCUCCUGCAGACAAGAGAGCACCAUCUCCUUCUCAACAGUUAUAGGUGCAGCUUGAUCAUCCUGCCCAAAUACUCCCAAAAAUUGAGACGCUUUUGUUAUUUUAAGUAUUUGGAGCUUUGGAAUACCUGAAGCCAUGGUUACUGGGAAGAGACUCUUUAACUUGUUGCAUUCUUCAACCUCAAUUUCACACAAACUAGGGAAGCAUAAAGAUAAGAGAUGAUCUCCUGACAACAUCUGAUCCUUUUCAUCAUCAUCCUCAGCAAUGAUUUGCUCCAAUUCCUCACAACUUGAUGUCUUUAGAACUUUCAGGUGCACUAGAUUAGCAAUCAUGUUGUAUGUGAAUACAUAUGUCAGUCUCUUACACCCAUUCACCUCCAAAAUAGUCAAAUUGCUCAGCACACGACCCUUCCAUAUAUACCUCAUGUCAGGCAAGAAGUUCAAGUAUAAUGUUUCCAAACUCCGGAGUGAAAGUUCAUGCCCACCUCUUCUAUCAGUUACAAAACUUACAACCUGAAUUCCAUCUUUUAUUCCUCCGCAUUCUCUAAUAUAUAUAUGUCUCAAAUCUGAAAGCCCCUGCAUCAAAAGAAAACUACUUUGGAACUAUAUUAUAACUUUGGUACCCCAAUUUGUUGGGUAUAAUUCCUAAUAAUUUUUGUGCACUUUGGAACCAAUUAUCCCCAAUACCUCAGCUAACUACUUAUCAACAAAAAGAUAUAAAUAGACAGGGCAAUAAGGCAUGGGAUAUGAAAUCAUAAGUUGCAGGACUAAACACAUACAACUCAAAUUAAGCUCAAUAUUGGCAGUUGAAGUUUUAUCAUCCUUCCCAAAUACUUCCAAUUUUAGGGAAGAGCCUCAAUUUCACUCAAAUAAAGAUUGAAAAUACAUGUCUCAGUUCAUUAUUUCUAACUUCGUAAGCCCUGCAUCAAGAGACCGCGAAUGAAGUAGUUAGAGAACUCCUUUUAAAUUCAGUGGAUGCAUUUAUCUCUACUUAAUUAGGUUUUAGAAAGUUGGAGGAAGAAGGAAGAAAUUUAAAGUUGACAAUUUAAAUGAAAAGGUACAAAAUUAGCAGAGAAUAUAAACGAAUGGUUAGAUUUAAAUGACGUACUUGAAGUUGUUCCAACAAAUUACCCAAUUCCUCAUGGCCAUGAAUGGUUAGAUUUUGCAGAGAAGGCAACUGGGCAGCAAAAUCCCUAUGACCAAAAAAGCUGUAAUUUGAUUCAGACCAAAGAAUCAACUCUCUUAGCUUAGGGAACUUGAUGAUGCCAUCUCUGGUGAGUGCAUCUCCUUCACCGUAAAAUAUUUGCUUUAAAUUGUCAGCUUUAUCAAUCUUCAUCUCUUCCAGGUUCUGAAGACUUGGAGACACAGAGAUAGGAAAGACAUAUUCAAGUUCAGCACAGGCAAAUAUAUAAAGAGUUUUUAAUUCUAGGAAGGCAAGAGACUCUGGAAUUAUUUCCCUUUCAUCAUCCUCCUCUCUUAGAACAUACUUCAAUUCACGACAAUUUCUUAUCUCAAGUGUUUCUAGCCGUCGUAGACUUUGAGCGAGGGACAGUGUGAAGAUAAAUGUCAGUUUGUGAAGACGGUUCAAAUUCAGAUGAAUAAGACUUUGUAGGCUGACAUGUCUGGUGGGCCCCUUCCAUAUACAUUUGAGCUCAGGUAACAUUUCCAGCUCCAACCUUGUUAAAGAUGACAGCAGCGGCAACUCCUCCUCGACAUUGCUUUCAUCAUCCAAUUCAAAUACCUCUUCUAAUGAUUUGCAGCCAUUAAUUUUCACACUCCUUAAAUUUUUCAAAACUUGCAGCACUUUUGAUGGAAAAGGAGUACAGAUAUCCCCACAAUGCCACACUUCUACAAAUUCCAAUCUCUGGAAGAAGCCGUUUUGCUGCUCAUGAUCAGAAAACAAUACUAUAUUUUUUAAACCCUUCACUCUCCUAAAAACAAUUUGAGACACAGUAGGAAAUAACUGCUCCAAUAUCUCUGCAUUUAAGGAUGUGGCGCUUGUAUUAUCCAAAUGUAAUCUUGUCGAGGUUGGGUAUCCUACUGGAUCCCUUAUAAAUGGAUUAUAAUUCCCUAAAAUUAUAUCAUAUUUGAACACUCUGGGAAAAACAAAAUCUCUGGGAAUGCUUUCAACCUCUGGUAUCCUCAAUGAUAAUACAGCUAAAUUAGACAACGAAUUUAGUUCUGUUAGGCUUGCGUUCAUUCCUCCUGUGCUGUCACAUCCAUCAACAUCCCACCCCCCAAAGCUCUUUUUCCCGAUCAGCAGCUCUUCUAACUUCCACAACCUUCCAAUCAAAUUCACAGGGAUCCUUCUUAGCCUUUGACAACCUGUCACAUCCAGCAACCUUAACUCCUUGAGUUCUCCUAUUUCAUCAGGUAAUUCUUCGAUGGAUAAGCACCACAUAAGACCAAGAAUCUUAAGUCCCUGCAGCUUUCUCAACCAAAUGAGGUCCUUGCAUUCGCACUCCAUCAACACCAUCGAUUGAAGUUUCGUUGAGAGUUCGAGUGAUUGCAAUGACAAACACCCUCCCUUCACAGACAAAACUUCAAUUUCUUUCAUCCCUUCAAAAAACCUCUCUGGAACAUUCAAACCAUCAUCAACUUCUAAUAAUAGAACUUUGAGCUGUGGACAUACCAAUCCUUCAGGAAGUUCUGCUAGUUUAUUGCCCAUUAACGAAAUUGUGGUAAAACCUUCAAAGCUUUCAUUGCCAAUGGGCCACUUCUGCAACCCAACGCCAGCCUUUACCAUGAAUCCAUUUUCUGAUGAUGCUAUCUGAAUAGCAACAUCACGAACCAAGUCAUGCAUUUUCACAUGUUCUUCAGUUUCACUGCCCAACAACAUGCCACAGUCUUCGAGGUCUUCGAUUGCCACAUAAACUUGUACCCUUGCAUCUUCAAUGGGCUCCCCAUCUUGAUGUAACCCAUAACCAAUUGCAUAUCUCGUCAAGUCCUCAAUUGGAAUGUCAUAAUCUUCUGGAAAUAAACUGCAUAGCAAGAAACAUAACUUGGUUUUCUCGAACUUCAAAUAAUCAUAGCUCAACUUAAGACAUGUAAAAGCAUUCUUUUGUUCGUCAAUUUGUUCCAUGAGCGAAAAUUGAGAGUCUUUGAGCUGUUUAGACGCUACUUCCCACUCAACUUUAGAUUUAUUUCUUAGAACCUUUCCCACUGUCACAAGUGCUAUAGGCAAGCCUUUGCAUUCUCUCGCAACCUCCAUUGCCACUGUGUUCAAGGUAGAGUCCCCAUCAUCUAAACCUGCAUUGAUUCUGAAUAAAUCCCAUGCUUCUUUUUCAGAAAAGAGACCUAAAAACACUUUUUUCUGGCACUUCAUAUAAAAACAUAUGUCUCGAAGACGUGUUGUUAGAAGAAUUUUACAACCCCUGUGAUAAUCACCAAAUGGGAUCCCUAUUUCUUUCAAAUCAAUAUGUUUCCAAACAUCAUCCAGGAUUAUUAGCAUCUUCUUUCUCUGCAGUCUCUUCCAUAAUCGAUCUGCUCUCCCUUCUUUACUCUUUUCUUUAAUUUUCAAACCUAACAUAUCUGCCAGUCGAUCCUGGAUGUCUGUGGCAUUUGGAUUCUGCGACACCGUAGCCAUCAAAACUUCAUCAAACAGCUGCAACUCUUUGGCUCUCCUGCCUACUUCUUUCACCAGGGUGGUUUUACCCACCCCUCCCAUGCCGUACAGUCCGAUCAUAUUGACGUUGUCAUCUUUGAGAGCUUUCAUAAUCUGUUCCAAAGCUUCUUUUGACGAUUCUGAGGGCCUGAAAUCCUUUGAUGGAAGAAAUUCUAUGGGCUCAGGAUGAGCUCUGUGGGACACUUUUGUAGGCUUUUUUUCUAAAUGUUCUCUGAAAGUCUCCGACUUCUUGGCCAGUACCUUGCUUAACUUGAAUUGUCGCUUGCAGUUUGGACACCAAGUGAAGCAUUUGCCAUUUUUUCCUAUUUCAUGUACAAUUUCUUCAGCAUCUACCAGCCACUUUUCGACAUCUUUGUAAAUUUCUUCAGCAUUCCUUUCAGCAGCUUCGACAUCGUCUUGCAGACGUUCUUUUUCCGAGACCAGCUUCUCCUGUUGUUGUUCGAAUUCCUUAACAAAAGUGUUGAAACAGAACAUGUAACGGAACUGCCUUCCUACUGGUUCCACCAUGAGUUCUGCUAUCUUAGAUAUAAUGGAUCCACCCACACUUUCGAUAGCCAUUUUCCACCAGUCUGAAAUCAGAGAAAUGAGGAUACAGGACGUGAGAGUGAGUCACUACAAGCAGGCGCAGAGAGAAUGGGAAUAGGAAUUUCAUUACCUUAACUUGAGAAAAUAUGUGCGGAAAGUACUGAGAGCUCAAUGAAAUAGCGGGAGGAAGAAAAGGAGAAGGCCUUUAGCUCUGUAUGGAAUCCAGCUUCAAAAGCAACAAGGCAAGGUAUAAAAUUCUAGCUGACACUUGUGAGUUAAAGCAGUAAUUCCCAUUAAAAUGCAUUUUGAUGACAUAAUUAAGAUCAAAUAGAGACAGGAAAGGCACGGUUGAGAUAAGUAGAGGGAGAGGUUGUUGGAGGCAGAAAAGGAAAGACUACGAUAAUAUUUUUCUCUAUAUUUUGAGUUUUAGUUGUUAAUAGCCAUGCUCUUGCAAAUAAGGCAGGAAAUAGCGUGUUUGUUUUUUAUUUUUUAAAGUAUUUUUUUAAAAAAAUAAUUUUUUGUAUUCUAAAUUAAUUUUUUAUUUUUUAUAUUGCUAUAAAAAUAUUUUUUAACAAAUAACAAAAUAUUAUUUUAAUAUAUAUUUUUAAAAUAAAUAUAUUUAAAAAAACUACUACUUAUUCAAACACUUAAAAUAAAAAUCUUAAAAUCACAGCGAUGAAUAAAAGGAGAAAAAGGAAUGGGAUAAGAAGGAAGAAAAAUACUAUUUGUUUUUUUACUGUAUCAGAGUGGUUUUUAUAUUAUAUUUUUAAUAUUUCUUGUUAUUAUAUAUAUAUAUAUAAUAUUUUAAUAUGGUUUUAAAUAAAAAAACUAUUAACAAAAUAUGUGUCACAAUACUAAAUUAUACUAUAAAUUAAAAGAUAAAGAGCUUUCUGUUUAUUACUAUUUACCGAGACUUAUUUUAUUGUGGAUGUGGAUAUUAAUAGUGAAUAUUUUUAAAAUUUUCAAUUUGGUAUUUGAAUUAUUAUUUUUUUGCAUAAUUGAAUCUCUUCAUGCUCAAAUUAAAACUCAAUUGCAUUUUUUUUAAGGAUAAGAGUUGAAUUAUAAGAUAGGUGACUAAAAUGAAAAACUCAGUAAAAAUAUGUGGCGACACUGUAAUUGUUUGCAAAGUUCAUUUUAGUCCUGUAUCUUUUAAGAUGUCCCAAUAAUUUCUCAACAUUACAUUUUAUCUAGAAUCUCUGAUUAUGCUCUAGGGACUAUAUUGAAAUUUUCAUAAAUUGAGAAAUCAAACUAAAAUUUCAUCACCUUCAAUCUCAAACCUAGAAUUUUCACAUAUCACCUGCUGAUAUAACAAAAUUUCGAACUCAAAUUCACCAUUUAAACAACCCAUAACUCAAAAUCAUUAUCUUUACUUAAAAACUUUUAAAAUCAACUAAAUAACUCAUUGUCCAUAACAAUGAACACAUAAUAUUCAAAUCAAUUCAUCAAUCAAACCCAAAACACAAUCUUCAAAACCCUAAUAUUCAACAAAACAGAAAAUUAAAGCUAAGAAAAACACAUUUAUCCACAUCAAAGUGUAAAUAUUCUUACAUUUUAAUUUAUUUUCUCUAACUCUCUUAUCCUUUCUUUAUCUUUUCCUAGUUUUUCUUUUUUUUCUUUCGCUCUCACGGUCCUCUAUAAGAUUUCAGAUCUAUCUUUUUUAUUAUUAUUUAUAUUUUGAACUCUUUAUUCAAUUACUACAAUACCGUUCAUUCAUUUAUACCUACUUCUAAGCCUCCAUGGGUUUUGUUGUCUUUUUCUAUUCUUUUUUAUUUUCAAAUCAUUACAAUAAAAUUGUUUUCUUUUCAUUAAGCUGCUAAUUUAUGCAGCUUUAGCUCUUGUUCUCUUUUCAUGUUUAGCAACUCUGAUCUGUUCCUUUUCUUUACAUGAUAUAAGGACAGGUUCUUACCUCUUGAAGUCUGCUGGAUAAACCUAUAAGCAGAAGAUCCUGAAGCGAUCCCAAAUCACAGCUUCAAUCCCCACCGCAACCAAUCUCCUCUUUCCCGUAGUCUGUCGUCCUCAAUUGGGAAAUGAUCUCAAAAAAUCACUUGAUGCAACAAGUAGGGUAGAGAAAUAUAAGACUUCAACAAAGAAUCAAACUCAAAAAAGUUGAAGUAAUUGUCUAUGAGAAGCAUUUCUGUGUCACACACUCAAGUAAUAUGAUUGACCUAUUACAUUAUACAAAUUAAUAAUAAUAAUAAUAAUAAUAAUAAUAAAAGAACUAGAUUUUUGAUGGCAUCCAGAGUGCUGUUAGUUUCAAACAAAGAGGCUUGUGCAUGCGGUGUUACGCUGUUCAUGUACGCUAAGAUCUCCUAUGAAUACAAUUGUAUAAUCAUACAAUUGUAUUAGUUUUAUUAAGCUGUUAAUUUAUGCAGCUUUAGCUCAUGUUCUCUCUUCUUGUCUUGCUAUUCUGAUUUUAUCUUUUUCUUUGCAUGAUAUAAGAGCAGGUUCUUACCUCUUGAAGUCUGCUUCAAUGCCCGUAGUCGUCCUCAAUUGGGAAAUGAUCCAAAAUCAACAACUGGUCCGGAGAUAGUUUGUGUGAAAAGAAACGGCUGAAAGAUGAAAUGUGAAGGUUAUGGUGAGAAAUUAGAUGACAAACUUACUUUGUCCUACUAAUGCUUUUGCUUUCAUUGUUUCGAAAGUUAAAGAGACAUAAACAUAAUCAUUUCCUUCCUUCUACUUUCCACAAUGUCUAAUUUAUACAUCAAAAAAUGGCAGUUUUUCUUUUCCUUUCUUUUUAAAAUCUUAUGCCUAAUUGGGUGAGGAAAUUAGUGGAGCAUUAGAGUUUUGAAAAGACAACAAAAAGAAGCAAUGUCUCAUCUUUUGAUAUGGUGGUACAAGAUACACCAUGGUAUGGUGGUCUUGCAAGAAAUGUCUUAGCUUUUGAUAUGGUGGUCUUCUUCCAUGAUCAGUUUUCGAAAGAUUCGAGUCUCCGUUCUAGUUCAGGUUGGAAGCUAGGCCGAAAGCUAAGAUUCUUUUAUUAGUGGUUGGUGUGGAUGAGUAUUGCAAGAAUGGACUCUAAGGGUCAGCUAAUCCGCAUAAUUAAACUACUAGGAAAUUCAAGGAAAGUUAACAAUAGUAUUGAUUCGAUCAAGUAAGGGGAUCCGGUGUCUAGAGAGGACCUUGCCGUUAAGGAAAUAACCAUAAAAACUAUGGAGCCCACUAUUUAUUAAUCCAUUUCUAUUUACUACUUAUUACUAUUUAUUUAUUUUUAUUAAUUUACUAUAUUUUUGUUUGUGUACCAAUAAAAUUUGAGAUUCCUUUAAUUUUUUAGGUGCAUGGUCUAGUCUAUUGGCUGCAUGUACAAAAUCAAUUCAAGGGUGUGUAUCCUUAACUAUCAGGCUAACCUUUACAGGCUUAGCUCGCAAUCGAUAAUUAAUUUUUAAUGAAUUCAAUUUUUAUUUAAAAUAAGGAAAAAGACAUUGGUGAAUAAAUAGUUUCCUUCCUAUUAUAAUUGUUAGACCUUACCAAAGGGCUAAUUUAGAAAAAGACUAACUUAUAGGUCUAACAAUUAAAGAAAAAAGUAUAUUUAGACCUUCCUAUUAUUGGUCAACUUGUGAUUAAGUAGAUCAAUUUAAAUUAAUUAUUUUUAUUAAAAUGAUAAUGUUUUGUUUUUUCUCUUGAUAUUAAUUUGGCUAAUUUUUAUCAAAUCAAUAUUUUAUGUUCAAUCUAGCAUACAGGUUUAACAAAUAUGCUUCGCACUUGCAGCCGUGGUUUGCUGUGGGCAUUUGAUAAUUGGGAGAGGCUUUAGUUUCGUACCUGUUGAUCUGCUUCAUAUACACUUGGACCUCUUAUUUUAUAUUUUAUAUUGGUUGGAUCCAAACUUAAUCCAACACAAAAUUAACAUAUUUAUUAUUUAUUUAAGAUAAAUGAUAUGGCUUUAACAUAUUAGCGUACACUUAAUAUGAUUAAAUUUAAUUUUAAUUAAUUAACAUCUCACCGUAAUAAAUUUACCAUUUGCAACCAAAAAACAGUCGACACCUUAUUAAUAUAAUCAAUAUAGUAGAAAAUUAUAGUGAUUUAAAACAAUUCAUUAAAAUGUUUGUAAAUGUUUUUAUUUUGUGACCACGGUUCUUGUGUUAUCUUUUAUGUAUUGUCAUUGUCGUACAUGGAAGCAUCAUAUGGGGGUCAUUUGGAGUCGCUACCUAGUUGUUUAGUUUAACAUCACUAAAAAAUCUAGGUAUACUAGUCCUGUUAGAGAUUCGAGAGUAAAUAACUAGUUAUGGCUAAAAAAUAUAUUAACACUCCUAACACACCCUAUCCAGGUAAGUUCCUUUGUGAUUAGAUGUGGUUUAGAGAUUUUGAUGGUUUUUUGAUAUAUCCAUGGUUUAGGAUUGGGAUUUGCUUGUAUGGAUAAAUUUGGUGUUUAAUAAUUUAGUAUGGACUCUUGUACCCAGAUAAAUUCUUAUAAAAAAAAGUUCUUUGUAAUGUGUGUAUUAUGGUAAAAAUUUCCCUCAAUAAAAAUUCAUGAAUAUUUAGAAUAACUUUGAGGAUUUUCUUAUCAACUCCAAUAUUUCAAAUAUCAGCUUCACUUAUAGGUAUCUUUUUAUAUCAAGAUUUUUAACCAUUAAUUCUCAUUAAUUAAAAAAUAGUGGUCUAUUAAAAUAUUGACCAAAUUCACAUGAAUUUAAUAAACUAGUUAUUAAAUUCUAAAAUGCAUAUUAAUAUAUAAUAUUUUAAUUUGUUUUUAAAUAAAGAAUAUUUUAAAAAAGUAUGGGCCACAAUACCAAAGUAUAGUAUAAAUUAAAAGAGAAAGGAGUUUUCUCUUCCUCACUAUUCACUUAUAUUCAUUUCACUAUGGAUAUUAAUAGUGAAUUUUUUGAAAAUUUUCAAUUUGAUACUUAAUUUUAACAAUUGAGCUUUUUUAAAUCCAAAUUAAAGCCUAAUUGCAUAUUUUUUCAAGGAUGAUGGUUGAAUUGAAAGACAUAGGACUGAAGUGAAAAACUCGACUAAAAUAAGUCGUGGCUUUGCAAUUUGAUUGCAAAGUUCAUUUUAGCCCCUAUAAAUUUUCAUCAUUGUAUUUUCAUACCAAACUUUAUUUUUUUCUAUUUUUUAUUUUUUUUGUAGGAGAGAGAGGAUCACCAUAUUUCGUUGUGGAGAGAGAAAGUUGCUGGGGAUUUUGGCCACCAAUUUUCUAGUUGGUUUUGGUUAAAAUAGGCUGAAAACAGGUUGUGGCUUACAACUGAGUUUUUUACUAAAUUAGUCAAUGUUUUUUUUAGUUUUUCUUUUUUAAAAAACAAUUCAACAAGAGAAAAGACUUGUAAAAAUAUAGAAUUACAUAAAGAAACUCAACAAAAAAUCAGACUCAAGCAAUUAAAAAUAAUUUUCUAUGAUAACCAUCUCUGUAUCACACAUUCAGGUAAAUAUGAUUGACCUAUAACAUAAAUAAAGCCCUGCAAACAAUUAAAUUAUGCUUCAAAAGCAACAAGACAAGGUAUAAAGUAUACCAACAAAAAUAGUUUACUAACUGACACUUGUGAGUUAAAGCAGUAAUUCCCAUUAAAAAUGCAUUUUGAUGUCAUAAUUAAAAUAAUAUAUAGACAAUGACAAAAUAAAAUAAUAAUAAUAAAAUAAUGUGUAAAAGAAACGAAUGAAAGAUUCAGAUAAUCACUUAGACAUGUAAAAUUACUCAACUGGCAAAAAGAAACGAAUGAAAGGUUCGGUAAUCACUUUUAGACUUCUCCACGGAUGAUACCAGCUCGCUUCCACCAACAAAUAUAAUUAACCUAAGCUAUGAUAGGUCAAAGUUCUUUUUAGUUUUCUUCUUAAUUUUUUUUUUUUAAAAAAACAGAUCAACAAGAGAAAAGACUUGCAAAAAAGUAGAAUUACGAAACUCAAAAAAAGAAUCAAACUGAAGCAAUUAAAAAUAAUAGAAUAUGAUGACCAUCUCUUAUCACACAUUCAGGUAACAUGAUUGACCUAUAACAAUAUUAAAAAAACAAAAACAAAAAGCUAAUAGAUGGUCGGCACGUGUUCAACUUUAUCUACCUUAAGGAAAGGAUAGAAAGUGGGAGAGAGAGAGGUUAAAAGGCUUAAAAAAAGAAAAGAGCAGGAAAGACAGAAAUAAAAGAAAGGUUGAGAUAAGAGAGGGACGUGGAAAUAGAAGGAGAGGCUGAGGGAGGCAAAACGGAAGAAGACAUUGGAAGAUCGGAGGAGAGUAGAGAAAACAAUAUGAAUAUGUGAUGCUCGUUUAUCUAUUUGAUUGGGAUUUUUUUGUGCCUUUGAUAAAAAUACUCUGUUUUUUUUUUUAUCUCUUUGAUUGGGAUUUUUUUGUGUCUCUUUUAUUUGGAAUUUCUUUGGACACUUUAAUAAUAUAAUAACAAAGAAAAUUAAAAUAUUGGUGAAAUUAUUGUUCAUUCAAACAUAAAUUUACUGUGAACUACAGUAGUAUUUUUUUUCAUACUCUUCCAAAUAAUGCAGGAAAUGAGGACCUGAAAUGACAGCAGCGAAUAACGUGUUUGUUCUUGUUUCUUCUAAAGUAUUUAAAAAAAACAAUUAAAUUAAAUUUUAAUUUUAUUUCAAAUUAAUUUUUGAAAAAACUAAUUUGAAAAUUAGUAUGAAAAAAAAGGAUAAUAGAGUAGGUGUCCAAAUCAAAACACAUAAAUAUAGGACAAAAACAGGGAGAGAGGCUCUUUGUUUUUUUAACUGUAUUGGUUUAUAGUGUUUUAUGAAUAUUUUAGAUAAAAAAUAGGUUAAAAGCAAGUUUUUAAAUAAAAAAUCAAGCUUUAUUAUUUUAUAUAAUUCAAAUAAAAUCAAUUUAUUUAAUUGUUUAGAAUUAUAACUCAAGUUAUUUAACGUCUUUUUAGAAAAAAAAAAAAAAAACACUUGUAACAUAGUGCAGUACAAACAGAAGAGACAUAACCAUAGUGGCAAAAAUCUUAAAGGGUUCUAAACUUCUAAAUUAUUUCUGUUACUUUCCCUCAAUUUUCUAGACAAGCAAAAGGAGCUAAACUUAUUCCCGACCAAAACGUCAAGAAUUUCAGUAGAACAAAAGAAGAGAUUAUUACUUGACCAAAAACAAGCAGUCAUCACCCAAAGAAACCGAGUCAAUGAGAGAAAAAGAGUGAUAGCUAGAAAACAAUCAACAGAUCCAAGAAUUUUCUGUAUGGUUUCCAAGAAAAUGAAACGAAACAAAGAUAGACAAAGAUAGUUCGAGGAAGUGGGCAGCCUUUUUUCUGCUGUUCACGCAGACUAAGAACUCCUACCAUCGUAAAAUCAUAUAAUUAAAACACAACAAU
This 34183-nucleotide long non-coding RNA is filed under the name Populus tremula. RNAcentral's name for it is "long non-coding RNA (PTRE_LNC000338)". The record is from RNAcentral. Lineage: Eukaryota; Viridiplantae; Streptophyta; Magnoliopsida; Malpighiales; Salicaceae.